CAGGGUGCUAAGUGGCUCAGUUCUACUGUACAAACAUCAUCUUCUCAUCUUCCAAACACAUCAGUGCUCUCCACUGCUGGAAAAAUGAAAAACCUGAUCUUGGUCUCUCUGAUCCUCCAGCUGGUGAUCACAGUAAAUGUGAUCAAUGGGUACAAGUUCGGAGACAUCAUUGCGUUUCCGAGAGGGUGCGAAAAAAAGCCCUUUCUCACGCACUAUGCCAUCUAUGUGGGUCCAAAAAGUGGCAUAGAUGUUGGUCAAGAGGGUGAUCAGGACAUAUUU
Epinephelus lanceolatus (giant grouper) is the source of this 279-nucleotide non-coding RNA. NCBI's taxonomy places the organism in Eukaryota, Metazoa, Chordata, Actinopteri, Perciformes, Serranidae. The record is from RefSeq and is a predicted model, not a curated record.